AAUUUGCAAAAAAUCACUGUAAAACAUGUCAAUUUAGAUUUUGUCUUUAGCUGUAAAAUGUUAGAUUUUGAACUCGGCUAUUCUAGUUUUUGCAGCUUAAAUUUACUUCAGAUUCAGAUUGACUGGACUUGCUUCAUCAAGUUAUCAGUUGAAAACAGAAAUAAAAGAAAUAUCGCAGGAAUGAAGGUCUGAGAGCAUGAGAAAACGUACUUGGUUCUGAAUUUGAAUUUACCUCCAUAAACUAAUGUUAAGAUUGAAGAACAUAGAUAAACAACUUGUUAUAUUCUGGAGAUAUGUCAUGUUUUCAUUUGGACUAAAACACAGACAUGUUUUGGUCAAUGAGAGGACUACUCCUGCUGGCGGAGGGAUUCUAUGCACCUGCAAAGGCAAUCCAAAUAAGGCGGAUUAAUAUGUGAACCUACUGUCUGAAUAAGUGGACUGUUAAAACGCGUGCGAUUUUAUUCCUGCUGAAAGACACACUGGAGGUGAGUGUACAUGAGUUUAAAAUCUAUUUGCCCUUAACUUUGAAGUUGUAACAUAAAGAUAAAAGAGUUAACUUUGUACAUCAUGCUUAUAAAUAAUUUUUGAUAGAAGGUUAAAAAUGUGAAAGUAUAGGAACAUUGGUUUGUUUUAAUCUGGUGCAAUAUUUGUUUUUCUUUAAUAAACAACUGAAGUUUGUCAUUGGACUUUGACUUUAAGUUAGCUAGCUUCAGUCAACAUUAGCAACGUUAGUUGUUGGCUUGGUGAGGGCAAAGAUGGUGGUGGUCUGACAGUCAGCGGGGAGAAAUGGCAGAGCUGCAGCUCCACUUGGUUUAUUAUGGAAUAACCAACGUUUCUUAUCAUGAUGAUGGCCUGAGCAAGCAUUUCCAGUUCACGAAGUGGAAAUGUAAGUUUUGUGCAUUCUCCCAAGUUGCCAAGGAAGAACAAUGAAACAUUAUAGACAUGGGCAUCAUAGAAGAUAUUCAGAUAAUGAUGGCUGCUGCAUGCACUGAAGUUUUUGUAAAUAAAAGCACGAGACGAGAGGAAAACUGCAAGUCAGUCCAAAUAAAGAGAGAUCCACUACCUGCCAGAGCUGCCUGAUGGACAGACUACUGUUAAAUCAGAGGAUACUGAGUCUGCGCUUGGGGGAAAUGCAGAAGAGGGACCCAGAUUCAUAGGUUCUGGACAAACUGAUGCUUGCAACAUUCUCACAGUGGAGAAAGGAGAUCGUUGGUGGUGAGCCACUCAUCUCUGCUGUCAUGGACAGAUGGCCUGCAUUGUUUUGCAAGAGACAAGUCCUUUGCCAGUUGAGUACAGUUUACUUGGUACAAUUUAGAAAUUAUUUAGUACUUGUAUUUUAUUGGAAUUUUCAAGUUUGAAGACUUGUUUACUUCUACGCCACUGGAUCUCUACUGUAAAACGUUGUACUUUUCACUCCACUACAUACGUCUGACUUACUUUCCGAGCAAACUUAUAACAAUCAGUCAGUAUAACUUAUACAUCAGAGUUGAAACUUCAGCUAAAAACAAUAAAGACGAAAGAUUUUACUGCAAUGUGACUGCAGAAUGCUGACCUUGCUCUUUGCCCUGUAUUUAAUUCAUUUGUACUUUGAUAAGUUUAAGCCAUAAAAUUACAUUUGAAAUGUAACAUAAAGUAAGGUGUGUGUGUGUGUGUGUGUGUGUUUGUCAUGGUAAUCUCAUGGAGAAACCCUUGAUGUGAUCAUGAAAGGAAUGCAGAUUGGACUGCUGACUGGACACCUCUGAUUGACGCAUUUCCUCUGGAAGCCUUAAAUGUGGUUGUGGUGGUGGAGGAGACCGUCAUCCUGCAGGAGCUCAGAGAGGUGCCCACAGGUCUUGCCAUGCUAAUGGGACAUCGCAUGUAAACAAAUGAAUGUGCAUCAUGCUCCUGGUAGAAAGGAGUAGUUGUUUUGGACUCUUGCUUGUUCUGCACAUUGUUCUUGUUUUUUGACAGUGUCGUUUGUACAGCUCUGGUCAGGUAUGAAAAGAGGAGAGAAUUAAGGUGGAAAACCUAAUGCUGUUCUGAACUGUAUUGAUUGUUUAUAUUUUUUCAGAGGAAGUAACUUUCAUGAUGAACCAACUAAGUUAUUUUAGAAUUAUUUUCAAUGAUUAUUCUACCUAGUCAAGGAAGUUAAUUAUAUGGUUCAUAAAAGCUCUCAUUAGCCCUUACUUCUCUUUCUUCAUGUGUUAUACUGUCAGUUACAGUUUUGGCAGUAUUUGGUAAAUAUUUUACAAUGUACUCUGUUUUUCAUAUUCAGUAUAUUGAAAUUAUUAGACUGUUGGAAAAUGUGGGACCAAUGUGUAAACGCUCAAGUGUCUUGAUGUGGGUAUGUGUAAUUAAGAGCAACAUUGUUUCCGUUGAUCUUAUGAUAUUGAUCAUCUGUGUUGUGACGCAGGUUUGAGAUCAUAGUUUAUGUAUAACACUGUUUUUCUAAAUACAUUUCUGACAACACAUGCACUGCAACUAUUAACUAUGAUUAAUAAAUAUAGGAAACUUGCAACAAUCAGUCACUACAACUUAUGCAUAGAAGUUGAAACAUAUUUAAAAUGCAAAUCUUCUUAACUUGAAAUGGAAAGUUAUAUAACUAUAGAACCUGAAGGUGUGAGUUCUACGAAUAUCAAAAUGUGAGCUUGUUUGACUUGUUAAAUAAGGUUUUCUCGCACUGAGGAUGUAAGGUUAGUGUUUAUUGUCUGAGGACAAAGUUAAAUAAACUUACACAACUUAAAAA
Long non-coding RNA from Acanthochromis polyacanthus (spiny chromis), 2725 nucleotides. RefSeq lists it as uncharacterized. The transcript has 2 exons. The record is from RefSeq and is a predicted model, not a curated record. Lineage: Eukaryota; Metazoa; Chordata; Actinopteri; Pomacentridae.